CGGGGCGUGGCGCACGCCUGGCUAGCGCGACCGGCUUGGGACCAGCCGCUCACAGAUUCAAAUCCUGUCGCCCCGACUA
Molecule: transfer RNA, 79 nt
Filed under: Planctomycetaceae bacterium
Lineage: Bacteria; Pseudomonadati; Planctomycetota; Planctomycetia; Planctomycetales; Planctomycetaceae
Description: tRNA-Pro
Rfam family: tRNA
About the family: Transfer RNA (tRNA) molecules are approximately 80 nucleotides in length. Their secondary structure includes four short double-helical elements and three loops (D, anti-codon, and T loops).
Source: RNAcentral